This is a long non-coding RNA of Asparagus officinalis (garden asparagus), 383 nucleotides long. RefSeq lists it as uncharacterized. The transcript is spliced from 4 exons. The record is from RefSeq and is a predicted model, not a curated record. Lineage: Eukaryota; Viridiplantae; Streptophyta; Magnoliopsida; Asparagales; Asparagaceae.
CCCAACGAGGCAGAUGUCGAUGCCGGCAGCGUCGAGCUGGACGGCGGCGGGGUAGUCGUAGGCGGUGACCAUGGUGAUGGAUUCGCCGUGCUUGUGUUUAUUGUGGAGGAAAAGAGCUUUGAAUCCUGACAAACAUGUUUGAAACCAGAUAAACCGGGAGAGGGACUGGAGGUGCUACAUGCUCACCGAAUCAUUCAUCGCGAUCUCAAACCUGAGGAUGAUGAGGAAGAAGGUGAAGAAGGAGAAGAAGAGGGCUUGAGUAAAUGUAUAGGGAAGGAGUUGAAGAAGUGUCUGCAGUGUCAUAGUCAUUGUAAAUAAUUUAUGUAAAAACUUGUAAAUAAUUUAUGUAUCUCUCUACUAUUUUGGUGAAUGUAUUAUUUGAA